UGAAUUUGGUGGCCUCAGAGUCUUCUC
Molecule: non-coding RNA, 27 nt
Filed under: Rattus norvegicus (Norway rat)
Lineage: Eukaryota; Metazoa; Chordata; Mammalia; Rodentia; Muridae
Source: RNAcentral